UACGUAGGGUGCGAGCGUUGUCCGGAAUUAUUGGGCGUAAAGAGCUUGUAGGCGGUUUGUCGCGUCUGCCGUGAAAAUCCGGGGCUCAACCUCGGACUUGCGGUGGGUACGGGCAGACUAGAGUGUGGUAGGGGAGACUGGAAUUCCUGGUGUAGCGGUGAAAUGCGCAGAUAUCAGGAGGAACACCGAUGGCGAAAGCAGGUCUCUGGGCCACUACUGACGCUGAGAAACGAAAGCCAGGGGAGCGAACGGG
This 253-nucleotide ribosomal RNA is filed under the name uncultured bacterium. Its description in RNAcentral is "partial 16S ribosomal RNA". It matches the Rfam family "Bacterial small subunit ribosomal RNA", at positions 524 to 776 of the family's 1533-position model. The record is from RNAcentral.